Molecule: ribosomal RNA, 484 nt
Filed under: uncultured bacterium
Lineage: Bacteria
Description: partial 16S ribosomal RNA
Rfam family: Bacterial small subunit ribosomal RNA
Source: RNAcentral
AUUGAACGCUGGCGGCAGGCCUAACACAUGCAAGUCGAGCGGAUGAAGGGAGCUUGCUCCUGGAUUCAGCGGCGGACGGGUGAGUAAUGCCUAGGAAUCUGCCUCCUAUUGGGGGAUAAUGUCCGCAAACGGGCGCUACUACCACCUACGUCCUGAGGCAGCUAGUUGGGGAUCUUCGGACCUCACGCUCUCAGAUGAGUCUAGGUCGGAUUAGCUAGUUGGUGGGUUAAGGGCCUACCAAGCCGACGAUCCGUAACUGGUCUGAGAGGAUGAUCAGUCACACGGGAACUGAGACACGGACCAGACUCCUAAGGGAGGCAGCAGUGGGGAAUAUGGGACAAUAGGCGAAAGCAUGAUACAGCCAGGCGGCGUGUGUGAAGAAGGUCUUCGGAUUGUAAAGAAGUUUUAGUGGGGAGGAAGGGCAGUAAGUUGAUACGUUGCUGGAUUGACGUUACCAACAGAAUAAGCACCGGCUAACUACGUG